CUUGGGUGAGGAUGGAACUGUGUGGUCAGCCAAAUGGACCACUGUCUAGUCAAGUGGGACAAGUGAUGCUCAUUUCCUGGAUUGGCUGAAAAUCCAACCAGGCCCUCACCAGGAAAUUCGCUUCAUUGCUCCACAGCCGUUCUUGGAAGAAGUUGACUUGUUUGAGCACAUCGCUUUUCCCAGUGUCUUCAUCAGCAUGAAGUCCAAACACUACAACGUGGAGUAGAUGAGCUUUCACAGUGGAGCCUAAUCCUGCCUCUACAGCCUUCCCUCUCCCGACCUCUGGCCACUGCAGCACCUCACCACUGGCCACACAAAGGACACUCAUCUUUUGUUCCCUGCAUAUCACCUGUGCCCUUUCAUGCCUUGGGCUCUGCUCUUGUUCCUCCUUCUGCCUGCAGUGCUCGCCUACCACUGACCGCUUCUGAUCUGCUUUACGGACUCCUGUCCUUCUUUCAACGAAGUCCCUUAAAGCCUAUAUUUCCUCUAGGAGUUUCCUUGAUUUCCCUGGACACAGGCAAAAAUUCCUGGCAGAAUGCCUGUUGCUCAAUACAUAGCCACAUAGCCAUGAUGAAGAUGAUGACAAUGGUGACAGCCACAGUGACAUCAGUGCCAUUUGGAUAUUUCAGGUGCUGCCCUCCAAAGAGUAAAAAAUCCAUCCUAUAAAAGGAUGGUCUGGUCCACCUCGCAUCUGAUCAUACCCACAAUUCUCAACCCAG
Non-coding RNA from Delphinapterus leucas (beluga whale), 719 nucleotides. NCBI's taxonomy places the organism in Eukaryota, Metazoa, Chordata, Mammalia, Artiodactyla, Monodontidae. The record is from RefSeq and is a predicted model, not a curated record.